GGAGUGGGCGAGGCGAUCGCUCGGCCCCUUGCGGGCCGGGAGGAAAGUCCGAACUGGGCAGGGCACGGUGGUUGCUAACGGCAACCCGGCGCGAGCCGAGGGAAAGUGCCACAGAAAACAUACCGCCUUUGACACGUGACCGGGGGGCUUCACCCGCCGGCUCGGCGCGGCGCGAAGCGCCGGUCACGUGUCAAGGGUAAGGGUGAAAUGGUGCGGUAAGAGCGCACCGCGGCGCGGGUGACCGUGCCGGCAGGGCAAACCCCACCGCCAGCAAGCCCAAAUAAGCAGCCAGAGGUGGCCCGCCUCGUUACGAGCUGCGGGUAGGGCGCUCGAGCGGCCCGGCGACGGACCGCCCAGAUGAAUGAUCGCCACCCUCGACGCGUGGCCGCAGGCUUCGCCUGCCGACGCGAAAGCGUCGCGACGCGGAGCGUCGGCCACGUGUCAAGGGCAACAGAAUUCGGCUUAUUCGCCCGCUCCGCCA
Molecule: RNase P RNA, 481 nt
Filed under: Planctomycetota bacterium
Lineage: Bacteria; Pseudomonadati; Planctomycetota
Description: Planctomycetes bacterium (groundwater metagenome) RNase P RNA component class A
Rfam family: Bacterial RNase P class A
About the family: Ribonuclease P (RNase P) is a ubiquitous endoribonuclease, found in archaea, bacteria and eukarya as well as chloroplasts and mitochondria. Its best characterised activity is the generation of mature 5'-ends of tRNAs by cleaving the 5'-leader elements of precursor-tRNAs.
Source: RNAcentral